Molecule: long non-coding RNA, 3109 nt
Filed under: Vigna radiata
Lineage: Eukaryota; Viridiplantae; Streptophyta; Magnoliopsida; Fabales; Fabaceae
Description: long non-coding RNA (VRAD_LNC013484)
Source: RNAcentral
AAGUGUAGUAGUACUGCUUGGUAAGCUAUUACAGCAUGGUUGUAAUGGCUUACUAGAGUGUUGUAUGUGCAAAAUGUCCCUGGUAAUCGGUUACAGCCUGGUGGUAAUCGAUUACCAGAAUUCUUUGGGUGUUGAACAACAAUUUUAAUGAGGUCUUUUAGAAUUGCUCAUCUUCCUUUCCCCUGCGAACAAAACAAACAAACCUUUUAUCAAACAUUUUUAUAACUCUUUGUUUUCUUAAAUGCUUUUUUUUUUGUCUGAAACAGAGAAAAUUACUGAAAUUGUUGAAUCCAUUUAUGUACAAUUUCUUCAAGCCUGCUAUUGAACAAGAGAUGCAGAUUUGAAAAGUAUAUAUUAUUAUAGAAUAAAGACAUACAAAAUUCUUUAAUAAUCAAUAUUUCUUAGGAGGCGGCAGCUUUAACACGUAUAGUUAGAACAAGAAAUAAUUGAGAGUCAAAUUGGUGAUGAUGAAUAUCAUACCUUCUCAGUAGGUCCUCCUGUUUUUCCUCUAAUGAAACCUACAUAAGUUCAAAUGUAAAGUAUGAGUUAUUUUCAACCAACCAAUGAGACAAUUAACUAUAGUUGCACUUUGAAAAUUAUAAAAUGAACACUUAUGCUCAUUCCCACGCUGCCAGCAAGAUUACCAAAUGAAUGGAAAACUGAUUCUUACGUUUCCAUAGUCCUCAAUUAGAGCACCUUUUGUAAUUUCUCACAGCUUCACUGAACCAGAAGUAUCCUAUGAAGAGCCAUUUACCAGCACCGAAGACGGCAAAAAGAUUACGGAAUAAAUCUCAAUAUUAACAUGUUUUGCAUAAUAACACGAACAGAAAACACCGUGAUUACCUUUGUCAGGACAAUGCCUUUUAUCAUCCAAAACAACAUGUUGUACCAUUGCAGGGAUACUAGGAAUAGUUAAUGUUGGUUGUUUAUAUACAGGAACCUAUAUAAAGAUAUGCACACACCAAACUAUAUAAAGUGUGUUUGGUUUAUCAUUCUUUAUUUACCCCAAAUUUUCAUUCUUUAUUUGGUUUAUCAUAAAAAGGAGUAUUCAACAUUUACAGUAUACCAAAAAGUUAAAAUACCAAUAAAUAAAUAAAUAAAAUCACAAUAUUCUAAAAGUUCUCAGAUUUCUCACAUUUGCCUAAAUUUAUAGUGAUUUUGCUAAUCUAUUUCUUCAAUUAAUCCUCUUACGUCAUUUAGGAAGGGAGUAUCUCUUGAUGCCUGUAAUAAAUAAAGAAUAUAAGUUAUUUAAAUUUAAUUUUUAUCAAAAUAAAUUAAAACAGCAAUAUAAAAAACGUAUAGCUGAAAAUUGAUAAAAGGAAACAAAACUAUCCUAUCUCAUAAUAUAGAGAAAAGGAAGAUUAUCAUCAGAAUGAUAAUAUUGUGAGACAAUGUCUUCUACAAUUAUUUUAGUGCAUUGAAAGUGAUGGUAACAGAGGGCUACAAGUGACUAAAUUUAAUUCAUUCCAUUCUAUUAGUAUUUAUUUGUAAUUCUCUCUUAUCAUUCAACAACAAAGUCAAUAUAUUUUUAAAUUAUAAUUCCACCCAGACAUUCUUUAGAUAUAAUUAAUAAAAUUAGCGCAUUGGACUUUUGAGAAAAACAAAUAUAACAUACAGGAGUAGAUUCUUAUAAUGACACCCUUAUUCUCGAAAGUGACAAAUUUCCAAUCAGUAGAGAAUUUUCUCUUUCAAAAAUCUUUCGAGGGUUCCGUCCUUGAGCACUCCAUCUGUGAACUGAAGAGUCCGUUGAUGUAACCCAUAUGUUAUCAUCAUGCAAAGCCAAUUGAAGAAUAGGAUUUUCCUCAGUACAGAGCAAAGCACUCUCUCUUGUUUGCAAGUCUGUCAAGUAUACACAUAUAAAACAAUUAGGAAGCACAAUAAAGGGACAUUACAUAAAAUUCAAUUAAUCUUUUAUGCAAAACUGCACUCAUUGAAAGAUCUCUGCCACCACUGUAAACGAUUUUGCUACUAUUAUAUAGAUGAUAAGGUAAAUAUAUAGUUGACUCCCACAUUGAGUUGUUUUUUACAUCUGAUUAAACAAAACUAUUCUAAAAGUUACAUCCGGUUUCUAAUUCCUAAAAACUAGACUCUAAUAUAUGUAAAUGACCAGCUAAAGCAAAUAUAAUGAGAAGCAAUGAAGAAUUACCUUCACAAAGAAGUAAUUAAUAUCUAACAACAACAACUUUGAUUCAAAGUAAUGAGCCAAGCAAACACCACCAAACCACCCUAUGCAUCUUUGAAGUCAUUAAUAUCUAACAAAACUUAACAAGCUUACAUCUUGAAACACUGUCAAGGAGGUAAACCAAGUGUUAACACCGUCGAGGAGGCCGUGAAGAAGGAGGUGACUCCGGUCAACGACUGAUUCCACCUUGUGCGACUCACUCGCAAACUCCUCAAAAACGCCAAUCGCAAGAUCGGCUAGCUUUAGGUUUUUGGAAUUAAGGAUUUGAAAUAGAGAAAAACAAGAGAAUUGGGGAUUGCGAAGUGACGAAGGACUGUGAGGAUAGAAAAGUCGAGACGCGAAGGCUGUGAAGAUGGAAACGACAAGACACAAAGGUUGGGAAGAUGGAAAUGGCGACCCGUGCGAAUCACAAGCUCCUCAAAACCACCAUCGGAGAUCUCCUGAAAAACGUCAAUCGCAAGAACAGUGAGCUCCUAAUGCUUGGGUUUUCGGAAUUAGGAAUUUGGAGGAGGAGAAGGCUAGGGAUUGCGAAGUGACGAAGGAUUGUGAAGAUGAAGAAGUCGAAAGGCGAAAGCUAAAAAUGAAGAAGGGGAGACACGAAGGUGAAGGUGGAAAUGACGCAGUGUAGAAAGUCAAAGAAGGGGAGACGCGAAGAUGAAGGUGGAAAUGACGCAGUGAAGAAACUCAAAAAUACCUCAAGCUCUGAAGGUGAAAAACAAAGUUCUAUUUGGGUGUGGAAAAAUUAUGAUAAAAAAAUUAAAAAAAAAAAAAAAAACUUGACUGCGGUUAUGUAUAAAAUCGCCUAUAAUUAGAAAAGGUUUUCAAAACCCGGUGCCCAAACGUCUACUAUAUUGCUUUAUUUUUGUAGUGACCAUAUCCAUGUUAAAAUAUAUUUUCAAAUACAAGGCAAUAAAAUAUAUUUUUGAC